UGGGGAAUAUUGCACAAUGGGCGCAAGCCUGAUGCAGCCAUGCCGCGUGUAUGAAGAAGGCCUUCGGGUUGUAAAGUACUUUCAGCGGGGAGGAAGGGAGUAAAGUUAAUACCUUUGCUCAUUGACGUUACCCGCAGAAGAAGCACCGGCUAACUCCGUGCCAGCAGCCGCGGUAAUACGGAGGGUGCAAGCGUUAAUCGGAAUUACUGGGCGUAAAGCGCACGCAGGCGGUUUGUUAAGUCAGAUGUGAAAUCCCCGGGCUCAACCUGGGAACUGCAUCUGAUACUGGCAAGCUUGAGUCUCGUAGAGGUGGGUAGAAUUCCAGGUGUAGCAGUGAAAUGCGUAGAGAUCUGGAGGAAUACCGGUGGCGAAGGCGGCCCCCUGGACGAAGACUGACGCUCAGGUGCGAAAGCGUGGGGAGCAAACAGG
RNAcentral lists this ribosomal RNA (429 nucleotides) under Chloroflexota bacterium. RNAcentral describes it as "Chloroflexi bacterium partial 16S ribosomal RNA". It matches the Rfam family "Bacterial small subunit ribosomal RNA", at positions 355 to 776 of the family's 1533-position model. The record is from RNAcentral. Lineage: Bacteria; Bacillati; Chloroflexota.